UACGUAUGGUGCAAGCGUUAUCCGGAUUUACUGGGUGUAAAGGGAGCGUAGACGGAGUGGCAAGUCUGAUGUGAAAACCCGGGGCUCAACCCCGGGACUGCAUUGGAAACUGUCAAUCUAGAGUACCGGAGAGGUAAGCGGAAUUCCUAGUGUAGCGGUGAAAUGCGUAGAUAUUAGGAGGAACACCAGUGGCGAAGGCGGCUUGCUGGACGGUAACUGACGUUGAGGCUCGAAAGCGUGGGGAGCAAACAGG
Molecule: ribosomal RNA, 253 nt
Filed under: Mediterraneibacter faecis JCM 15917
Lineage: Bacteria; Bacillati; Bacillota; Clostridia; Lachnospirales; Lachnospiraceae
Description: [Ruminococcus] faecis JCM 15917 partial 16S ribosomal RNA
Rfam family: Bacterial small subunit ribosomal RNA
Source: RNAcentral